CCCUUGGCGGCAGACUACACAUGCAAGUCGAGCGGUAACAGAGAGUAGCUUGCUACUCUGCUGACGAGCGGCGGACGGGUGAGUAAUGCUUGGGAAUAUGCCUUAUGGUGGGGGACAACAGUUGGAAACGACUGCUAAUACCGCAUGAUGUCUACGGACCAAAGUGGGGGACCUUCGGGCCUCACGCCAUAAGAUUAGCCCAAGUGGGAUUAGCUAGUUGGUGAGGUAAUGGCUCACCAAGGCGACGAUCCCUAGCUGGUUUGAGAGGAUGAUCAGCCACACUGGGACUGAGACACGGCCCAGACUCCUACGGGAGGCAGCAGUGGGGAAUAUUGCACAAUGGGCGCAAGCCUGAUGCAGCCAUGCCGCGUGUGUGAAGAAGGCCUUCGGGUUGUAAAGCACUUUCAGUAAGGAGGAAAGGUUAAGUGUUAAUAGCACUUAGCUGUGACGUUACUUACAGAAGAAGCACCGGCUAACUCCGUGCCAGCAGCCGCGGUAAU
This 500-nucleotide ribosomal RNA is filed under the name Pseudoalteromonas prydzensis. Its description in RNAcentral is "bacterial SSU rRNA". It matches the Rfam family "Bacterial small subunit ribosomal RNA", at positions 37 to 524 of the family's 1533-position model. The record is from RNAcentral. Lineage: Bacteria; Pseudomonadati; Pseudomonadota; Gammaproteobacteria; Alteromonadales; Pseudoalteromonadaceae.